RNAcentral lists this long non-coding RNA (2095 nucleotides) under Homo sapiens (human). RNAcentral describes it as "HSALNT0178674". The record is from RNAcentral. Lineage: Eukaryota; Metazoa; Chordata; Mammalia; Primates; Hominidae.
UGUCAGGCCUCUCAGCCGAAGCUCAACCAUUGUAACCCCUGUGACUUGCACAUAUGCGUCCAGAUGGCCUGCGGGAGCCAAGAAGUCUGGGGCAGCCAAAAACCCACAAAAGAAGUAAAACAGCCACUUCCUGCCUUAACUGAUUAACAAACAUUCCACCAUUGUGACUGGUCCCUGCCCUACCUUAACUGAUCAACCAUCCUUGUGACAUUCUUCUUCUGGACAAUAAGUCUUAUGAUCUCCCCAUCAUGUACCUUGUGACCCCCUCCCCUGCUAACAAUAGAUAACAACCACCUUUUACUGUAAUUUUCCAUUACCUACCUAAAUCCUAUAAAGCAACCCCUUCCCCAUCUCCCUUCAUUGAUUCUCUUUUCGGACUCAGCCCACUUGCACCCAAGUGAAUAAACAGCCUUGUUGCUCACACAAAGCCUGUUGGUGGUCUCUUCACACGGAUGCAUUUGACAUUUGGUGCUAUGACUUGGAUCGGGGGACCUUCCUUGGGAGAUCAAUCCCCUGUCCUCCCGCUCUUUGCUCCGUGAGGAAGAUCUACCUACGACCUCGGGUCCUCAGACCAGCCCAAGGAACAUCUCACCAAUUUUAAAUCGGUGACCCACUGGAAAUCAGACCGCCCAGCUCACCCGGCAGCCACUUCCAGAGCCCAGCCCCUAAAGCUCUGGCCCAAGGGUCUCUGACUGACUCCUUACCAGACCUGCUCAGCUUAGUGGCUGAAGACUGACGCUGCCCAAUCACCUUGGAAGCCCCCUGGACCAUCAUGGAUGCCAAGCUUCGGGUAACUUUCACAGUGGAGGAUGGCCUGCAGGAGCCAAGAAGUCUGGGGCAGCUGAAAAACCACAAAAGAAGUAAAACAGCCAGUUCCUGCCUUAACAGAUUAACCAACAUUCCACCAUUCCACCAUUGUGACUGGUCCCUGCCCUACCUUAAUGGAUCGAUUGACCUUGUGACAUUCUUCUUCUGGACAAUGAGUCUUAUGAUCUCCCUACCAUGUACCUUGUGACCCCCCUCCUCUGCUAACAAUAGAUAACCACCUUUUAGUGUAAUUUUCCAUUACCUACCCAACUCCUAUAGGGCAACCCCUUCCCCAUCUCCCUUCGCUGACUCUCUUUUCAGACUCAGCCCACUUGCACCCAAGUGAAUAAACAGCCUUGUUGCUCACACAAAGCCUGUUGGUGGCGUCUUCACACAGACAUGCGUGACAUCUGCUCACCCACCUCUAAUACUGCAGAUUGAACAGUUCCCUUUGGAAAGCCCUUCCUGAUGUUGAGCUAAAAUGUCUUCCUGUCAUGUCCAUUCAUUAGUAGAAUAAACAUUUUAUCCAAAUGAGGCUGAUUAAACCAGAGGUUUAUGCAAAGGUGUAUGCAUCAAAGAUAGUGAUUUCCUGAGUGGAAGAAUUAAAUACCAGCUAAGAGUGAUUACAUAAAGCAUGGACCUUUUAUCUCUAUAGAAAAAACGCUACCUGACAAUAUUUCAAGUUAGAAUUUUGCUUUUCUUUUUCUCAAGUCAGGGUCUCAUUCUGUCACACAGACUGGAGUGCAGUGGUGCGAUCAUGCUGGCUAAUUUUUAAAUUUUUUGUAGACAGGGUCUGCUAUGUUGCCCAGGUUGGUCUAGAGCUCCUGGGCUCAAGGGAUCCUCCUACCUUGGCCUCCCAAAGUGCUGGGAUUACAGGCAUGAGGCACCUCGCCCAGCCCAAAUUAGGAUUUUUCUGGAGUGUAUAUUAGCACUUUCCUGAAAGGCAGCAAAUGUUUCAAAAGUUCACACCCUUUAACUCAAUAAUUACACAUCUAGGAAUCUUAUUCUCUGAAAAUAGUAUAGCAUGGAAAACGUUUUUUGCACAAAUUUUUGUUUUUUUAACCACAGUGUUUCUUUUAAAAUGUUAUUAAAAGAAUAAAAACAACCAAAAAUGUUCCUCAGAAGCAAUAUGUAAAUUCUGAAUACCAGAUAAACUACUAGGCAAGCAUCUAAAAUAAAGUUUACAGAUUUUCUUAAAACAUGAUGAAAUACUUGUGUAUUCAAUGGAUAUUCCAAGGCUCAGCUUCUAUAAAAAAAAUCUAACUCUGAGUAAGGGGAUCCAUAACAG